RNAcentral lists this ribosomal RNA (451 nucleotides) under uncultured Gammaproteobacteria bacterium. RNAcentral describes it as "bacterial SSU rRNA". It matches the Rfam family "Bacterial small subunit ribosomal RNA", at positions 338 to 774 of the family's 1533-position model. The record is from RNAcentral. Lineage: Bacteria; Pseudomonadati; Pseudomonadota; Gammaproteobacteria.
CCUACGGGAGGCAGCAGUGGGGAAUAUUGGACAAUGGGGGCAACCCUGAUCCAGCAAUGCCGCGUGGGUGAAGAAGGCCUGCGGGUUGUAAAGCCCUUUCAGUAGGGAGGAAAAGCUGAAGGAUAAUACCUUUCAGUGUUGACGUUACCUACAGAAGAAGCACCGGCUAACUCUGUGCCAGCAGCCGCGGUAAUACAGAGGGUGCGAGCGUUAAUCGGAAUUACUGGGCGUAAAGCGCACGUAGGUGGUUUGAUAAGUCGGAUGUGAAAGCCCCGGGCUCAACCUGGGAAUUGCAUUCGAUACUGUCUGACUAGAGUAUGGAAGGGGGGGGGGUGGGAAUUCCCGGUUGUAGCGGUGAAUGGUGUAGUAUCUCGGGAGAGGAAUACCAGUGGCGAAGGCGGCCCCCUGGACCAAUACUGACACUGAGGUGCGAAAGCGUGGGUAGCAAACA